Molecule: non-coding RNA, 89 nt
Organism: Trichocladium antarcticum
Lineage: Eukaryota; Fungi; Ascomycota; Sordariomycetes; Sordariales; Chaetomiaceae
Source: the annotation of a GenBank genome assembly
GGGCUGUUGGUCUAGCGGUAUGAUUCUCGCUUUGGGUUGCUUCAAUCUGAUCAUGCGAGAGGUCCCGGGUUCAAUCCCCGGACAGCCCC